This 491-nucleotide long non-coding RNA is filed under the name Solanum tuberosum (potato). RNAcentral describes it as "long non-coding RNA (STUB_LNC010936)". Lineage: Eukaryota; Viridiplantae; Streptophyta; Magnoliopsida; Solanales; Solanaceae. The record is from RNAcentral.
ACAAAUCUCCCAAAUGAACAUGUUCAUUAGAGUCAAAUAAAUACAGGAACUCAUAGCUACCCACUUGAACUUGACAUAAGCCAGGUAAAUCCUUUGACAAAAAAAUUUAUACUAUUAAAAAAAGAAUGUUUACUUCUUUAUAUUUUGAAUACGAUAGUAAGAAUCCUGGCUCCGCCGCUACUCAGCUCCACAAGAGUUGAAUGCCUGAAUAGUAACAUAAUGUAUUGUAUUUAUAAAUUGCUCACCUAAGAUCUUCCAAUUUAUUGAUUGAUUACAUGGUAUCAGAAAAGGGCUUCAUCUUGUUUUGGAUCUGUUACGAAAGAGGUCAUUCUGUGUCACCGCAACCAUAGGAGGAGGCGGAGUAACUUUUCCGGCCGAACCAGUUUUCUCCGGCGCGCCACCCGUCCAGUUCGCGUGUCCAUCACGAGCCGGCGCGUGUUCCAACUGAAUUAUUUAGGCCUUCAUUCCCGGCGUGUGCUCGUCAUUCCGGC